Hibiscus syriacus is the source of this 107-nucleotide small nucleolar RNA. The record is from RefSeq and is a predicted model, not a curated record. NCBI's taxonomy places the organism in Eukaryota, Viridiplantae, Streptophyta, Magnoliopsida, Malvales, Malvaceae.
AAUCCAUGAUUAGUACAUUUGUGAAGUAAUCCUUUAUAUUGGUCCCAAAACUCAUACAUAGACUCGUCAUCAGCUUGACAGAAAGAUGAUAUCUCAUUUCUGAGUUG